RNAcentral lists this ribosomal RNA (174 nucleotides) under Bacteroidota bacterium. RNAcentral's name for it is "Bacteroidetes bacterium (marine metagenome) partial 23S ribosomal RNA". It matches the Rfam family "Bacterial large subunit ribosomal RNA", at positions 2740 to 2925 of the family's 2925-position model. The record is from RNAcentral. Lineage: Bacteria; Pseudomonadati; Bacteroidota.
GCAGGGUAGCUACGUUCGGAAGGGAUAAGCGCUGAAAGCAUCUAAGCACGAAGCCCAUUGCAAGACUAGAUUUCCCCUACGGGUCGUUCGAGAUUAGGACGUUGAUAGGCGAUAAGUAUAAGCGUAGCAAUACGUUCAGCUGAGUCGUACUAAUUACCCGUGAGGCUUAAACUC